RNAcentral lists this long non-coding RNA (227 nucleotides) under Gossypium raimondii (Peruvian cotton). Its description in RNAcentral is "long non-coding RNA (GRAI_LNC005775)". The record is from RNAcentral. Lineage: Eukaryota; Viridiplantae; Streptophyta; Magnoliopsida; Malvales; Malvaceae.
GCUAUUUAAGCCAAAAAACCUUCAAAAAAUUUUCAUUUUUUCCCUUUAAAAAAAAAACAUAAAAUACUCUCCCCUCCCCUCUUCUCCUCUGAGCACCGACCCAAAGUCUGGCGAAGGGGCCAUCGCAUCGGUCGUCGGUCUCCGACGACGGCGCUACCGUGUGAGAUGGCCGAAAAAGGAGAAAACCUCUGACAUGGUCUUUUCAAACCCCCUAAACCCGAAUCUUG